RNAcentral lists this long non-coding RNA (746 nucleotides) under Olea europaea subsp. europaea. The record is from RNAcentral. Lineage: Eukaryota; Viridiplantae; Streptophyta; Magnoliopsida; Lamiales; Oleaceae.
AAGCAACAUAUAGAUUUUGUAUGAAUUCAUUUGGUUCUUUUGAAUCUUGCUCAAGCAAGAUGAUAGAAAAUUAUAAUGACCGGUUCCUUUAGGUCAAGGAUCUAUAAGAAUUCACCUAUUCCAAUAUUAAAAAAUAAAAUCUGAUUCGAAUGAUCAUGCAUUAAUAGCUAAAUUGCCUAAAAUUGUGGGUCAUAUAUAUUACGGAGAACUCGUAUGUCUAGAUGAUUUUUUUUAUAUAUUUUUCAGUAGUUAUUCUAGGUACUAUUGCAUGUAACGUAAAUUUGACGGUUCUAGAACCAUCAAUGGCUGGUGAAUUGGCAAAUCCAUUUGCAACCCCUUCGAAAAAUAUUAUUGAAAUGGUAUUUCUUUUUCAUUUUUCAAAUACUUGGUAUAGUGCCCAAUAUUGGAUGUUCUUUUAAUGGUUUCAAUACUUGAAGGAUUAUUAACAGUACAUUUUUUAGAGAAUAUUAACAAAUUUUGAAAUCAUUUCGUUGUCCAUUGGCUACAAUCAUCUUUUUAAUUGGUAUUGCAAUUGCUCUUUGGUUAGGUAUUGGUGAAAAAUUACCUUGAUAAAUCCCUAACUUCAGGUUUUUUUUUUUUUAAAUUUGAUUCAAUUGUAAAAUAACAGAAUGUGUGUAUCUAGGUAGUAUUCGAUUGAAAGCAAAUUCUCCCUAAAUAUAUCUAUUCAAUUUUGAAUUUCUUUCGAAAAUAUAAAUUGUGCUAAAGAUUCAAAACUUAUUUUCAUU